RNAcentral lists this ribosomal RNA (1348 nucleotides) under uncultured bacterium. Its description in RNAcentral is "bacterial SSU rRNA". It matches the Rfam family "Bacterial small subunit ribosomal RNA", at positions 28 to 1381 of the family's 1533-position model. The record is from RNAcentral.
GACGAACGCUGGCGGCGUGCUUAACACAUGCAAGUCGAACGAUGAAGCGGUGCUUGCACCGUGGAUUAGUGGCGAACGGGUGAGUAAUACGUGAGUGACCUACCUUUGACUCUGGGAUAAGCCUGGGAAACUGGGUCUAAUACCGGAUACGACCAAUCUCUGCAUGGGGUGUUGGUGGAAAGCGUUAUGGAGUGGUUUUAGAUGGGCUCACGGCCUAUCAGCUUGUUGGUGAGGUAAUGGCUUACCAAGGCGACGACGGGUAGCCGGCCUGAGAGGGUGACCGGCCACACUGGGACUGAGACACGGCCCAGACUCCUACGGGAGGCAGCAGUGGGGAAUAUUGCACAAUGGGCGCAAGCCUGAUGCAGCGACGCCGCGUGAGGGAUGACGGCCUUCGGGUUGUAAACCUCUGUUAGCAUCGAAGAAGCGAAAGUGACGGUAGGUGCAGAGAAAGCGCCGGCUAACUACGUGCCAGCAGCCGCGGUAAUACGUAGGGCGCGAGCGUUGUCCGGAAUUAUUGGGCGUAAAGAGCUUGUAGGCGGUUGGUCGCGUCUGCUGUGAAAGGCCGGGGCUUAACUCCGGUUUUGCAGUGGGUACGGGCUACCUAGAAGUGCAGUAGGGGAGACUGGGAAUUCCUGGUGUAGCGGCGGAACGCACAGACAUCAGGAGGAACCCCGAUGGCGAAGGCAGGUCUCCGGGCUGUAACUGACGCUGAGAAGCGAAAGCAUGGGGAGCGAACAGGAUUAGAUACCUUGGUAGUCCAAGCCGCAAACGUUGGGCACUAGGUGUGGGGGACAUUCCACGUUUUCCGCGCCGUAGCUAACGCAUUAAGUGCCCCGCCUGGGGAGUACGGCCGCAAGGCUAAAACUCAAAGGAAUUGACGGGGGCCCACACAAGCGGCGGAGCAUGCGGAUUAAUUCGAUGCAACGCGAAGAACCUUACCAAGGCUUGACAUGCAUUAGAUCGCGUCAGAGAUGGCGUUUCCCUUCGGGGCUGGUGUACAGGUGGUGCAUGGUUGUCGUCAGCUCGUGUCGUGAGAUGUUGGGUUAAGUCCCGCAACGAGCGCAACCCUCGUUCUAUGUUGCCAGCGGUUCGGCCGGGGACUCAUAGGAGACUGCCGGGGUCAACUCGGAGGAAGGUGGGGAUGACGUCAAAUCAUCAUGCCCCUUAUGUCUUGGGCUUCACGCAUGCUACAAUGGCCGGUACAGAGGGUUGCGAUACUGUGAGGUGGAGCUAAUCCCUUAAAGCCGGUCUCAGUUCGGAUUGGGGUCUGCAACUCGACCCCAUGAAGUCGGAGUCGCUAGUAAUCGCAGAUCAGCAACGCUGCGGUGAAUACGUUCCCGGGCCU